AUUGAACGCUGGCGGCAUGCCUUACACAUGCGAGUCGAACGGUAACGGGCCUUCGGGUGCCGACGAGUGGCGAACGGGUGAGUAAUACAUCGGAACGUGCCCGAUCGUGGGGGAUAACGAGGCGAAAGCUUUGCUAAUACCGCAUACGAUCUACGGAUGAAAGCAGGGGACCGCAAGGCCUUGCGCGGACGGAGCGGCCGAUGGCAGAUUAGGUAGUUGGUGGGAUAAAAGCUUACCAAGCCGACGAUCUGUAGCUGGUCUGAGAGGAUGAUCAGCCACACUGGGACGGAGACACGGCCCAGACCCCUAGGGGAGGCAGCAGUGGGGAAUUUUGGACAAUGGGCGCAAGCCUGAUCCAGCCAUGCCGCGUGCAGGAUGAAGGCCUUCGGGUUGUAAACUGCUUUUGUACGGAACGAAAAGCCUUCUUUUAAAACAGGAGGGUCAUGACGGUACCGUAAGAAAAAGCACCGGCUAACUACGU
RNAcentral lists this ribosomal RNA (481 nucleotides) under uncultured bacterium. RNAcentral describes it as "partial 16S ribosomal RNA". It matches the Rfam family "Bacterial small subunit ribosomal RNA", at positions 30 to 506 of the family's 1533-position model. The record is from RNAcentral.